ACGUACAGCCCGUUCGACGGCGCGCGUCUGAGCUCAGCUGGCAGGAGAUUGGUCAGCACCUCAGCGCCCUCUAUACUCGCGGCGGUCUGACGUCCAUCGAAUCCUCAGCGCAGCUCGUCCCAGGCUCCGCUAUCGCCGGAGUCUACGCGACCGACGGCACGGUGUACAGAGCCGUCGUGCUAGCGCCCAAGCCGGAGGCGCCCCCUGUGGUGGUCGCUGGAACCGAGCUGAUCUCUGUGCGUUACGUCGACUUUGGCAACUCGGAGGAGGUUCCGCUGGAGAGGCUGUUCCAUCUACCGCC
Molecule: long non-coding RNA, 301 nt
Organism: Priapulus caudatus
Lineage: Eukaryota; Metazoa; Priapulida; Priapulimorpha; Priapulimorphida; Priapulidae
Exons: 3
Source: RefSeq, a predicted model, not a curated record